RNAcentral lists this ribosomal RNA (170 nucleotides) under uncultured bacterium. RNAcentral describes it as "partial 16S ribosomal RNA". It matches the Rfam family "Bacterial small subunit ribosomal RNA", at positions 338 to 525 of the family's 1533-position model. The record is from RNAcentral.
UCUACGGGCCGCAGCAGUGGGGAAUAUUGGACAAUGGGCGAAAGCCUGAUCCAGCAAUGCCGCGUGAGUGAUGAAGGCCUUAGGGUUGUAAAGCUCUUUUACCAGGGAUGAUAAUGACAGUACCUGGAGAAUAAGCUCCGGCUAACUCCGUGCCAGCAGCCGCGGUAAUA